GGGCCCGCACAAGCGGUGGAGCAUGUGGUUUAAUUCGAUGAUACGCGAGGAACCUUACCAGGGCUUAAAUGUAAGUUGCAUUAGUUAGAGAUAGCUAUUUCUUCGGACUACUUACAAGGUGCUGCAUGGUUGUCGUCAGCUCGUGCCGUGAGGUGUCAGGUUAAGUCCUAUAACGAGCGCAACCCCUGUUGUUAGUUGCCAUCGAGUCAUGUCGGGAACUCUAACAAGACUGCCGGUGCAAACCGUGAGGAAGGUGGGGAUGACGUCAAAUCAUCACGGCCCUUACGUCCUGGGCUACACACGUGCUACAAUGGCCGGUACAGAGAGCAGCCACACCGUAAGGUGGAGCGAAUCUACAAAACCGGUCUCAGUUCGGAUCGGGGUCUGCAACUCGACCCCGUGAAGCUGGAAUC
RNAcentral lists this ribosomal RNA (413 nucleotides) under uncultured bacterium. Its description in RNAcentral is "bacterial SSU rRNA". It matches the Rfam family "Bacterial small subunit ribosomal RNA", at positions 917 to 1333 of the family's 1533-position model. The record is from RNAcentral.